This 301-nucleotide ribosomal RNA is filed under the name uncultured bacterium. RNAcentral's name for it is "partial 16S ribosomal RNA". It matches the Rfam family "Bacterial small subunit ribosomal RNA", at positions 509 to 807 of the family's 1533-position model. The record is from RNAcentral.
CAGUCGCCGCGGGAAUACGGAGGGUGCAAGCGUUAAUCGGAAUUACUGGGCGUAAAGCGCACGCAGGCGGUCUGACAAGUCAGAUGUGAAAUCCCCGGGCUUAACCUGGGAACUGCAUUUGAAACUGUCAGGCUGGAGUCUUGUAGAGGGGGGUGGAAUUCCAGGUGUAGCGGUGAAAUGCGUAGAGAUCUGGAGGAAUACCGGUGGCGAAGGCGGCCCCCUGGACAAAGACUGACGCUCAGGUGCGAAAGCGUGGGGAGCAAACAGGAUUAGAUACCCGUGUAGUCCCUGUCUCUUAUAC